UUAGAUCCAACGAUCAGAAACGAUUUAAUAUCAUGAUGUACUGGUAUCUCGAAAUACUUUUUGUUAUUUUUGCUAACCGUAAAAUUGCUAACCGAAGAAACUUGUUGAUUUAUAUCAGCAUAAGUUACACACUUGCGCACUCCCUGAGAACAAGGGAAACAUAGAAACAAUUUUACAGCCUUUUAGAACAAACAACCUAAGUAAUAAUAACUACGCCGAUCAAGCCCCUGUAACUAGUUCGAUCGGCUAGCUUGCUUUGGGUGCACCUUCUUCUUCUUCACCAGCCGAGAGAAUCCCCAGCGCUCUCCCUUGCUCACCUCAGGCGCCGUCUUCUUUUCAGACGAUCCACCGCCCGCCGCCGCCUUCUUUCCUGUCGCCGCCGCCGCCUCGCUGGCGUUUGCCUCGGCCUUCAUCUUCUCCUUGCAGGCUUUCCUCAGCACGUAGGCCUCCACGAGGUCCCCUGCUACCAUAGAUGUCAUCUUCAGCGCCCUCUCUCUCUCUCUCACAGGGCAAGCUCUCUACUUUUUUAUCUGAG
This 535-nucleotide long non-coding RNA is filed under the name Oryza brachyantha (malo sina). RNAcentral's name for it is "long non-coding RNA (OBRA_LNC001202)". Lineage: Eukaryota; Viridiplantae; Streptophyta; Magnoliopsida; Poales; Poaceae. The record is from RNAcentral.